CCUACGGGAGGCAGCAGUGGGGAAUAUUGCGCAAUGGGCGAAAGCCUGACGCAGCGACGCCGCGUGAGGGAUGAAGGCCUUCGGGUUGUAAACCUCUUUCAGCAGGGACGAAAUCAGACGGUACCUGCAGAAGAAGCACCGGCCAACUACGUGCCAGCAGCCGCGGUAAUACGUAGGGUGCAAGCGUUGUCCGGAAUUAUUGGGCGUAAAGAGCUCGUAGGCGGUUUGUCGCGUCGGCUGUGAAAACUCGGGGCUCAACCCCGAGCCUGCAGUCGAUACGGGCAGACUAGAGUGCUGUAGGGGAGACUGGAAUUCCUGGUGUAGCGGUGAAAUGCGCAGAUAUCAGGAGGAACACCGGUGGCGAAGGCGGGUCUCUGGGCAGUAACUGACGCUGAGGAGCGAAAGCGUGGGGAGCAAACAGGAUUAGAUACCCUGGUAGUCCACGCCGUAAACGGUGGGUGCUAGGUGUAGGUCGUAUUCCACGCGAUCUGUGCCGCAGCUAACGCAUUAAGCACCCGCCUGGGAGUACGGCCGCAAGGCAAAACUUAAAGGAAUUGAGG
This 560-nucleotide ribosomal RNA is filed under the name uncultured bacterium. RNAcentral describes it as "bacterial SSU rRNA". It matches the Rfam family "Bacterial small subunit ribosomal RNA", at positions 338 to 915 of the family's 1533-position model. The record is from RNAcentral.